GCCCGGAUGGCGGAAUAGGUAGACGCGCAUGGUUCAGGGCCAUGUCUCUGUAAGGAGGUGCAGGUUCGAUUCCUGUUCCGGGCA
RNAcentral lists this transfer RNA (84 nucleotides) under Fidelibacterota bacterium. RNAcentral describes it as "tRNA-Leu". It matches the Rfam family "tRNA". Rfam says of the family: Transfer RNA (tRNA) molecules are approximately 80 nucleotides in length. Their secondary structure includes four short double-helical elements and three loops (D, anti-codon, and T loops). Further hydrogen bonds mediate the characteristic L-shaped molecular structure. tRNAs have two regions of fundamental functional importance: the anti-codon, which is responsible for specific mRNA codon recognition, and the 3' end, to which the tRNAs corresponding amino acid is attached (by aminoacyl-tRNA synthetases). tRNAs cope with the degeneracy of the genetic code in two manners: having more than one tRNA (with a specific anti-codon) for a particular amino acid; and 'wobble' base-pairing, i.e. permitting non-standard base-pairing at the 3rd anti-codon position. The record is from RNAcentral. Lineage: Bacteria; Pseudomonadati; Fidelibacterota.